Molecule: long non-coding RNA, 3794 nt
Filed under: Homo sapiens (human)
Lineage: Eukaryota; Metazoa; Chordata; Mammalia; Primates; Hominidae
Description: HSALNT0316002
Source: RNAcentral
AAUAAUUUUAAUGUAUAUUGGCAUAUUGAACAACAUAAAAACAACAGCUUUUCAGCUUUGCUAUCUAAGUACUCUGAUUCAUAUCACCGUUUUUUGCACCCUUAGGUAUAACUAACAAUCCCUUCAAAGUUAGUAUAAAUAUUUUAAGGAUGUAUCUCCUGUAGAAUAUGCAUUUUGUAGAGAAAUCAUCUUUUAUAUAGAAAAAAGAAUGUCCAUGCAAAUUUGAAAUUUGUCAAAAAAAAGAAUAUGCAUUUAUAGAAGCUGAAGGAAAGUCCCUCUUGAUAGUCACAUUUAGCGCAUUUUUAGUUAUUGAAAUUUAUGUUUAGAAUCUUAUUUGCAUAACGUGAGCAUGUGAUACCUAUGAAAAGGGAAUGCUAAUGAAUGCUGAUGGGGGCAUGACAGUGAUGAGCAAUCCUUUUCAAUAUUACUUUUAUUUCAGCUGAAGAAAAAAUUGUUCUCUUAUAAGCAACUGCACCUGUACAGGUUUUAAAUUUUACAAGGCAACCUCUGUAAUCAUCUCUAGAGAUGCGUAAGAAUCAGAAUUGCCUAUUUCUACAAGUUCAUGAAUUUAUAUACUUUGGCUGUCGACAUCAACAAUAAAAAUCUUUAACCAUUUUAACUCUAACCACUAGCCAAAAUAAGUCAGUCAGGGUCAACUAAAAGAAUCACUUUCGGCCUAUUAUUUAUUUUUGGACUGUUCUGACUGUAGUGUUGUCUGGAAGCUAUAUAUGCGUAUGAGAGAACUCUACCCUGAUAUUAGGUUCAAUAGCUUCCUGUUCAUUGCAAAAGUGUACCAACAGUUUUCAUUUCCUUCUGGCUUAAUCUUAGAACUCAAUCAUUAAGUCUUGUAACUCUAUUUCAAAUAGGUUCUUUCUGGGCCUUCAUUAUAUUUUCAGUUAAAUACUGCAAAUGCCACUUUCAUAACCUAAAAUUGAUAUAUUCAAUUAAUCUUUAUUCAAGAAAACCGGGUAUUACUAAGAGGGACUUACUACUAGAUUUCUACUGGAAAUAAGGAGGAUGUGUGUGUGUGUGUACCUAAGCUUGUGUAAAUACAUUUUUUUUUUUAAAUCAGAAAGCUAGCAGCCCAUAGGUCAUCUUUGUGCAAAUAAAAAUAGUUCCCUCUCUGGGGGCUGGGCAGCUCCAUGGCCUCUCAUCUUGUCCAGCUGGGUUACAGAGGCUACAUUUCAGUCCCUACUUGCCUUUUUGGCCUGGCGUUCUCACAGCCUCACAGGAGGCUCUAUGAAGUAUACUGCAUUAUAUUUCAAACUCCAGGAUUCUCUGUUCACUGGUAUAUAGAUACAGGUAUAAACAAUUUCAGAUAUAAAAAAAACUUACUUCCAUAUGAUUAGAUCUGAAGAAUUUCAGUAAUUCUUUAUAACCCUGAAAUUCCUUACAUAAGGAAGGGAAGAAAGUUAAGCCAUUUUACUUAUUUGUACAAUGAUUUCAGAUGUAACCAUUUAUUGCUAUCUGAAGCCUGAAACAAAUAUCUCAAUAGCUGGGAGGCUACAGAAAAGGCUUUCUGAGUAAAGACACGAGAGCUUUUCCAAAAGAAUUAAUUAAGGUCAGAAAUGAAGUGACAGAAUCUGAAACUAAUUUUCAGAAAUCUGAAAUACAUGAACAUCUUUAAAGGAAUAAAAAAAGAGAGAAAGGGAGAAAAAGUAGUUCCAAAUCAUUUGUCAAAGCAAAUAGAUUUAUGUCAUGUACUUAAGGUCUAAGUCUAUGUGACAAACAGCUGCCCUUUGAUAAACUGUUGAACUCAGAAGUCAAUGAAAAAAAUGUCACUAAGUAGUACAAGUUUGGAGAAGAAUAUAACAUUAUCUGCCCUAUAAAUUUUAUUUCGUUUCUAGAUUAAUGACAUUUUUAGCACAGAUCAAAAAUUAUAUAUCUCCUAAUAAGUAAUGACAACAAGUUUAUUUCAUUUUCUAAAAUAGAGCCAUGGAUAACCCACAGGUCAUGGGUGAAUGUGGCUCUUGAUUUGAUUGUACCAGACCUCCAGAAAAUGUUCUAAAAUUCAGUGCAUGUUCUCUUCUGCUAGUAAAAGUCUAAAAGCCAAUUUUGUGUGCAUAUGGGAGAUCCAAAGAUGAAAACAAACGUAGUCGUAGAAUUAUAGAUUAUUUCAGCCAAAAGGUCCAAAUAAAUUACCUAACCUCAACUUUUCUUUUUACAGUGAGGAAUCUGAGGCCCAGAGAGAUUAAGAAGCUUCACAAGUGACAUGACUUGUGCCAAAUCACAAGGUCAUUUAGUUGCAGAACUGGGACAGGAAUUCAUGCCCAGUUCUCUUUUCAAAACCCUGUGGAAAAAAGAAGCACAUUGAAUUUAGCCUUUGAUUCGUCAUCAGCAUUAUCAGAGAUGAGGUGCAUUUUUUUUAAGAGAAAUGUUGGAAACAACCUACUGAAGAAAGGCUAAGACUCCUACAUCAGAUUACCAAUGCACUUUGUCAUAAAUAUUUCAGAAUGCCUAUGAGAAAAAGAAUAAAGCUAAAUCAAGUCCAGAAUACAGAGACAAAUCACUGCUGCAUUGACAGAGUUCUCAACAUUCAUCAAAUUAUACAAUAGUCAGAGGAGUUUCCUGUGGAUAUAAGGUCCAUUUGAAUCCUUAAGAAAAAGAGUGGAUAUUGAAGAAAUAUGUUCUUUAUUCUGAGCAGAAAGGCCAGCAAAAAAGAUAAUGGAUUUGCCAAAAUAUAUCAGGACAAUACUAUUAGCCAUAGGUAAUUGGAUGAUAAAAAUUGCUGUUACCUUUAUGUGCUUUUGAAACUCUACAUGAUUUUCUUUGCAAAAAGGUCAUUAAUAAAAAAUUGCAUAAUUUAAUGGGUUUCAUCUCAUUUUUGUAGUUCAAAUCAAUCACCUCAAUGGCAAUCAGAUAUUAAGCACAUUGUAUUAUUUAUCUAUAGCCUUUGAGAAGAGAAAAAAAAUUUAGUUCACUUUUAAUUAAAUAUCUGUUGAUCCCCAAAUUUAAUACUAUUUCUGAUAAACUCAUGUAAAAGAAAUAAAGUGAAUAUAGAUAGCUUUAAAUGGAAUUCAUUUUUAAAAACUUGUCAGAGGACCCUGUUAACAUCUUUCCAUGUCCUAACAUGGCUAUAACUUAAAAAUAGGCCUGAGAAUAGAUCAUUAUAGGCCAUAAUCUACUAAUUAACUAAAAUUUUUUGAUUUCCCAUAUAGGCAUCUCCAAAUGUUUUCUAGAUCUUGAGUUUUAUUCUAAUAUUACCUACUCUAUCAUAAGCACACUCUAGUGUAGCUUUAACUUAACACAGAGAUAAUUUUCCAAAAAGAGUUGUGCAAUACAAGAAUACUAUCAUUCUACUUGCUUCACACUGCAAUACAUAAAUAUUAAGUCUGAAUGUCAAGACUAUCAUUCAAUCAAUGCUUUUCUACCCAUUUACUGACACCAGCAAACAUAUAUCACCAGUACCCUUGGCUACCACAUCAUUAUGUCUGUACACUGCUCAGAUCACAAUGUGAUUUAUCCAGAAAUAGUCCAUUACUUUUCCUACCAAUGGCAGAGACCGUCACUCUGUCCUACUAAGACCAUUUAAUGAAAUUGUUCUGUAAGGACCUUAUAUUAGAGCAGUUCAGGCAGAAUGUUCAUUUUCCUGUCUCUUGAGGAGUAAAAAGCAAUAGCCAUAAAUUUAUUCUCCCUGGUUUAACCUCUUUUAAUAGACAAUGACGACAAUACAAUUGUCCAUAAAAUAUUACCACAAAUUUUUAAAAUAUUUUCCCAAACCGCUUUUUUCUACAAUUCUAUUUUGCUCCUAGAAAAUCGGGGUGGGGGGAGAAUUAUUCAUUAAUGAGAGCCAA